Molecule: long non-coding RNA, 586 nt
Organism: Gasterosteus aculeatus aculeatus (three-spined stickleback)
Lineage: Eukaryota; Metazoa; Chordata; Actinopteri; Perciformes; Gasterosteidae
Source: Ensembl
CUAAAGACCAGAUAUGGAGGUAUUGCAGAACCAAGCUACUUGUCAUUCGUUAUCAUAAAUGUGGUAUUAAAUGUGGAGAUAAGCGAUGAAAGAAGAGGGAGGCCGGGUGCUGAGGAUUACUGAUACACAGGAGGGUGUGUGUGUGUUGUGAGCAGAUGGUGCAGCCCAGCCCUGCUCCGCCUGAUCCCUCUGACAGCUGCACUAGAUCCUCGGUGAAGCUUUACUCCGGGAUCACGUGCCUCCAGUCACUGCGUCGGAUCCGUCCUUGUUGCUGUCCUACCCAGGCUGUGCGAAGGUUUCAUCCGCGCAGUCAGAGCCAGGGGAACCAUGCCGAUGGGGUGUGUGCUUGCGUGCAUAGGCCCCUGAGCCCCGGCCCCUGUGUGGUCUGGCUGUACAUGUAUGUGUGUGGUCUUCCCGGCCCCCUGCUCAUCUGUCCGAGGCCUGCUAACGGCCUGCCCAGUGACCACGGCUGUUUACUUUACUUCUGUCUGCACCAACUGAACUCUGAUCGCCGCUUCCUCCAGCUGGGCCAAAUCAGGCCCCAGCUCCGACUCUCAGCAGCGCAUGCAGAGGCCCGAAAGUCUAG